RNAcentral lists this ribosomal RNA (468 nucleotides) under uncultured bacterium. Its description in RNAcentral is "partial 16S ribosomal RNA". It matches the Rfam family "Bacterial small subunit ribosomal RNA", at positions 28 to 507 of the family's 1533-position model. The record is from RNAcentral.
GACGAACGCUGGCGGCGUGCUUAACACAUGCAAGUCGAACGGAAAGGCCCUGCUUUUGUGGGGUGCUCGAGUGGCGAACGGGUGAGUAACACGUGAGUAACCUGCCCUUGACUUUGGGAUAACUUCAGGAAACUGGGGCUAAUACCGGAUAGGAGCUCCUGCUGCAUGGUGGGGGUUGGAAAGUUUCGGCGGUUGGGGCUGGACUCGCGGCUUAUCAGCUUGUUGGUGGGGUAGUGGCUUACCAAGGCUUUGACGGGUAGCCGGCCUGAGAGGGUGACCGGCCACAUUGGGACUGAGAUACGGCCCAGACUCCUACGGGAGGCAGCAGUGGGGAGUAUUGCACAAUGGGCGGAAGCCUGAUGCAGCAACGCCGCGUGCGGGAUGACGGCCUUCGAGUUGUAAACCGCUUUCGCCUGUGACGAAGCGUGAGUGACGGUAAUGGGUAAAGAAGCACCGGCUAACUACGUG